This 247-nucleotide ribosomal RNA is filed under the name uncultured bacterium. Its description in RNAcentral is "partial 16S ribosomal RNA". It matches the Rfam family "Bacterial small subunit ribosomal RNA", at positions 99 to 334 of the family's 1533-position model. The record is from RNAcentral.
CAAACGGGUGAGUAACACGUGGGCGACCUACCUUCGAUGGGGGAUAACCUUCCGAAAGGAGGGCUAAUACCGCAUGACAUCCCGUGUUUGGAUACACGGUGAUCAAAGCCGGGGAUCGCAAGACCUGGCGCUUGAAGAGGGGCCCGCGUCCGAUUAGCUUGUUGGUGAGGUAACGGCUCACCAAGGCUCCGAUCGGUAGCCGGCCUGAGAGGGCGGACGGCCACACUGGGACUGAGACACGGCCCAG